UACGAAGGGGGCUAGCGUUACUCGGAAUCACUGGGCGUAAAGGGUGCGUAGGCGGGUUAUUAAGUCAGAGGUGAAAUCCUGGAGCUCAACUCCAGAACUGCCUUUGAUACUGAUAGUCUUGAGUAUGGGAGAGGUGAGUGGAACUGCGAGUGUAGAGGUGAAAUUCGUAGAUAUUCGCAAGAACACCAGUGGCGAAGGCGGCUCACUGGCCCAUUACUGACGCUGAGGCACGAAAGCGUGGGGAGCAAACAGG
RNAcentral lists this ribosomal RNA (253 nucleotides) under uncultured bacterium. RNAcentral's name for it is "partial 16S ribosomal RNA". It matches the Rfam family "Bacterial small subunit ribosomal RNA", at positions 524 to 776 of the family's 1533-position model. The record is from RNAcentral.